Non-coding RNA from Pelobates cultripes (western spadefoot toad), 1007 nucleotides. NCBI's taxonomy places the organism in Eukaryota, Metazoa, Chordata, Amphibia, Anura, Pelobatidae. The record is from the annotation of a GenBank genome assembly.
GUUUGUGUAUGGAAGUAGUGUGCGGUGUGAGUAUAUGACUAUUAAUAUGUGUUUGUCGGUGUUACAUGGCGUGUUUGUGUAUGGAGGUAGUGUGCGGUGUGAGUAUAUGAAUAUUAAUAUGUGUUUGUCGGUGUUACAUGGCGUGUUUGUGUAUGGAGGUAGUGUGCGGUGUGAGUAUAUGACUAUUAGUAUGUGUUUGUUAAUGUUACAUGGCGUGUUUGUGUACGGAGGUAGUGUGCAGAGAGUAUAUGACUAUUAAUAUGUGUUUGUCGGUGUUACAUGGCGUGUUUGUGUAUGGAGGUAGUGUGCGGUGUGAGUAUAUGACUAUUAAUAUGUGUUUGUCGGUGUUACAUGGCGUGUUUGUGUAUGGAGGUAGUGUGCGGUGUGAGUAUAUGACUAUUAAUAUGUGUUUGUCGUGGUGUUACAUGCAUGGCGUAUGGAGGUAGUGUGCGGUGUGAGUAUAUGACUAUUAGUAUGUGUUUGUCGGUGUUACAUGGCGUGUUUGUGUAUGGAGGUAGUGUGCAGAGAGUAUAUGACUAUUAAUAUGUGUUUGUCGGUGUUACAUGGCGUGUUUGUGUAUGGAGGUAGUGUGCGGUGUGAGUAUAUGACUAUUAGUAUGUGUUUGUCGGUGUUACAUGGCGUGUUUGUGUAUGGAGGUAGUGUGCGGUGUGAGUAUAUGACUAUUAGUAUGUGUUUGUCAGUGUUACAUAGCGAGUUUGUGUAUGGAGGUAGUGUGCGGUGUGAGUAUAUGACUAUUAAUAUGUGUUUGUCGGUGUUACAUGGCGUGUUUGUGUAUGGAGGUAGUGUGCGGUGUGAGUAUAUGACUAUUAGUAUGUGUUUGUCGGUGUUACAUGGCGUGUUUGUGUAUGGAGGUAGUGUGCAGAGAGUAUAUGACUAUUAAUAUGUGUUUGUCGGUGUUACAUGGCGUGUUUGUGUAUGGAGGUAGUGUGCGGUGUGAGUAUAUGACUAUUAGUAUGUGUUUGUCGGUGUUACAUGGCGUGUUUGUG